UACGGGGGAUGCGAGCGUUAUCCGGAUUUAUUGGGUUUAAAGGGUGCGUAGGCGGGAUGCCAAGUCAGCGGUAAAAAUGCGGUGCUCAACGCCGUCGAGCCGUUGAAACUGGCGUUCUUGAGUGGGCGAGAAGUAUGCGGAAUGCGUGGUGUAGCGGUGAAAUGCAUAGAUAUCACGCAGAACUCCGAUUGCGAAGGCAGCAUACCGGCGCCCUACUGACGCUGAGGCACGAAAGCGUGGGUAUCGAACAGG
This 252-nucleotide ribosomal RNA is filed under the name uncultured bacterium. Its description in RNAcentral is "partial 16S ribosomal RNA". It matches the Rfam family "Bacterial small subunit ribosomal RNA", at positions 524 to 776 of the family's 1533-position model. The record is from RNAcentral.